CAGGCGCCCGCCAAAACGCCCGGCUAAUUUUUUUGUAUAUUUAGUAGAGACGGGGUUUCACCGUGUUAGCCAGGAUGGUCUCGAUCUCCUGACCUCGUGAUCCACCCACCUUGGCCUCCCAAAGUGCUGGGAUUACAGGCUUGAGCCACCGUGCCCGGCCCUUAAGUACAUUUUUAAUGAUACUAUAUCACCACCAUAAGUACUACAUCACUAUUGUAAAUAGAAAAUUACUAUGAAAUAGAAUACUAUGAAAACAAGGUAAUGUUACUUAAUUUAAAAUAAUAAAAUAAUAAUAUUUGAGUAAUGACAAAUCUGGUGGGUUUGGAAAAGUGCACACCUGAAAAUCAGCAAAAAGUAUUAAGAAACUAACUGCUUUUUUCUUUCUUAUCAAUCAAUUAAAAAUGAAUAUUUAGCUCAAUGUUUCUCAGUCCAAGUCAAAGAUGAGCUGAAUAUCUAAAAGGUAUUUAAUGUCCUUCUCAAGAAAGGUUGGAUAUUGACAAUUAAUUCCUAAUUUAAUUUAUAUAGGCAUUUGUUCAACAAAUUUUAUUUUUCCCAAUAGGGUUCUAAAGUGAAAUCUUGAAUCUUUCAAAUGGGUCUGGUUAUUUGGUAAAACCCAGAAAAGUGAUUUACCAAGAUUUUCUUGCCCUGAAUCAUUGCCGUCUGGUUUGAGAAAAUAGCUAUAAGACCUUUUAUCAAGUGGUUUCUUGGUAAUUUUGAAACGUCUUCAGCAAAUUCUUCAGAUGAAUUUUUUUUAAGAAACUACAAGUUUUUUCUUUUUUUUUUUUUCUUUUUCUUUUUUGAGACGAAGUCUUGCUUGUUGCCCAGGCUGGAGUGCAGUGGCGCGAUCUUGGCUCACUGCAAGCUCCGCCUCCCGGGUUCACGCCAUUCUCCUGCCUCAGUCUCCUGAGUAGCUGGGACUACAGGCGCCCGCCACCAUGGCCGGCUAAUUUUUUUGUAUUUUUAGUAGACACGGGGUUUCACCGUGUUAGCCAGGAUGGUCUCGAUCUCCUGACCUCGUGAUCCGCCCGCCUCAGCCUCCCAAAGUGCUGGGAUUACAGGCGUGAGCCACUGCGCUUAGCCUAAGUUUUUUUCAAUAAGUACUGCUGGUGGAAUGAAUGUCCGUUUCAGAAUCUGUUCCUAGGAUCCUGAGUUUACCAUAUAAAACAUGUAAGUGAGAUAUACAUAUAUUCAUAUGUACAGAAAUACACAUAUAAACAUAUCUAUCAUAGCUUUAUCAUAUAUGUAUGAAGUCUUAUUUAAAUCUCUCUCAGUGGAAACUAGUGUUCAAAGAGAUGUAGUGAUCUCAUUCAAUCAACAGUAAGCAAAUAUUCGUUGACUGUGUACUGGGUAGCAGGCACCAUUCUAGGCUUUGAGACAACAAAGAGAAACAGAAUAGACGCAGUCACGUCGUUUGUGUCCUAGUGACGGUUGAGGCAGAAGAGAGAAGAAAGAAGGUAAUUUCCAAUAUUGAUAAGCUAUGAAGAGGAGCAGAGGUCACUCAAAGAAGUCCUGUCUGGGAUAUCUGGAGGAGCAAUCAGUCCUGUGAAGACUGGGAAGGGGCAUUCCAGACAUAAGAAACAGCUACUGCAAAGCCCGUAGGACAAAAACAAGACCGGCAUGUCCAGGAAGCAAAGAAUAUAUGGCUGGGAUCUACUGAGCCAUGAUGAGCUUUAUAGUCACAUAAGGCCUUGUAACUAUGAUGAGGAGCUUGGAAUUUAUUCUUUGCAAUGAAAAACAUGUGGAGGGUUUUAAUUAGGGGGAUGACAUAAUCUGAUUUCAUUUCAAAAAUAUCCUUCUGGAUGCUGUGUGAAAAGGGAAAGAAGACACAAAGUCAAAGGCUUGUCUGUUGGCUCAGCAAGAAGCGAUGGUGGCCGGGCGCAGUGGCUCAUGCCUGUAAUCCCAGCACUUUGGGAGGCUGAGGCGGGCAGAUCACAAGGUCAAGAAAUCAAGACCAUCCUGGCCAACAUGGUGAAACUCCGUCUCUACUAAAAAUAGAAAAAUUAGCCGGGCGUGGUGGCGCCUGCCUGUAAUCCCCGCUACU
Molecule: long non-coding RNA, 2041 nt
Filed under: Homo sapiens (human)
Lineage: Eukaryota; Metazoa; Chordata; Mammalia; Primates; Hominidae
Description: non-protein coding lnc-PRL-12:1
Source: RNAcentral